GUGCACUUUUGAAGACGUUUACUUUGAGGAAAUGAGAGUGUUUAAAGCAAGUUUUUGCCUUGAAUACAAAAGCAUGGAAUAGUCGCAGAAUCUUGGCCUCAUUUUGUUGGUUUCUGGUGCAGAGGUAGUGGGCAACAGGGAUAGUUGGGGGCAUCAGUAUUUGACUGUCAGAGGUGAAAUUCUUGAAUUUGUCAUGGAUUGACUAGUGCGAUGGCAUUUGCCAAGGAUGUUUUCAUUAAUCAAGAACGAAAGUUAGGGGAU
Molecule: ribosomal RNA, 261 nt
Filed under: Hemiselmis rufescens
Lineage: Eukaryota; Cryptophyceae; Cryptomonadales; Hemiselmidaceae
Description: partial Eukaryotic small subunit ribosomal RNA
Rfam family: Eukaryotic small subunit ribosomal RNA
Source: RNAcentral